This 253-nucleotide ribosomal RNA is filed under the name uncultured bacterium. RNAcentral's name for it is "partial 16S ribosomal RNA". It matches the Rfam family "Bacterial small subunit ribosomal RNA", at positions 524 to 776 of the family's 1533-position model. The record is from RNAcentral.
UACGAAGGGGGCUAGCGUUGCUCGGAAUUACUGGGCGUAAAGGGCGCGUAGGCGGCACUGUUAGUCAGGCGUGAAAGUCCUGGGCUCAACCUGGGAACUGCGCUUGAUACGGCAGAGCUAGAGGAUGGAAGAGGCUCGCGGAAUUCCCAGUGUAGAGGUGAAAUUCGUAGAUAUUAGGAAGAACACCAGUGGCGAAGGCGGCCACCUGGCUCGGUACUGACGCUCAGGUUCGAAAGCGUGGGGAGCAAACAGG